CCAUUUUACUACUUGACUACUCAAAUAAUGAUAAUUAUUGUGAUUUCUUUUUCUUUUGAACAAUUGUGAAUUAGAUUUUCCUGGAGCAGUUAUUUGUUAUAAAAUAUAAUAAUUAAUUACUUGAUUAGUUAUCAAUUUAAUGAUUAUUGAUUAGAACUUGUGUAGUUGUGUAUGCAACGUGAACAAUUUUCAAUUUUUCUCAAUUUCUCUUCUUGUGAAGUGUGAUAAUGGAUACUACUGUUGUGUGUUGAUAGCAGAUCGAGAUCAUUUUUAGAACUUUGAACUUUCAGUAACCAUUAUUAUUAUUACUAGACUCAAAACUUUUAUAUAACGUGUGUGUGCAAUGGGAUACUUUUCAAUUUGUCUCACUUCUUAUGGUGUGUUGAUAUGAAAGAUUAGCUGAUACAUUCUUCAAUUUACAUUGAAGCUCACUUCUUAUUAUAUUACAGAUUUGGGCACUGUUUCUGUUUGUUUAGCUACCUACAGCCUGUAGCUUCAAUUUCCAGUUCGUCAUCAAUCUGUCUACUGAAAGUACUCAACUGAAACUUCAGAGUAUUGAAAGAUUAGCUGAUACGUUUAUCAGUUUGCAUUGAAGCUCACUGCUCAUUACAUUUUAGAUUUGGGCACUGUUCAGCUACCUACAGUUAGUAGCUUCAAUUUCCAGAUUGUCAUUAAUCUGUCUGUACAAAAGGUCGUGUAAAUUGCACGUUAAAUUAUUACCUGUGGCCGUGUUUUAAAAACACGUUAAUUGUUUUCUUGGUAUCCAUAAAAGGCCGUGUGUAUUUCCGCACGUAAAACUUUCCUUGGUCGUGCAUUGCACGUUAAAACAUUUCAUACAUUAUUUUGUAUCAAUUUCAUUGAUAUAUUGGUCAUGUAUUAGUACAUGUUAAAUUGAAUGCGAUUUAUUUUAUUACUUUUAUAGUAAUAAUAAAUUUGAAACCUUGAUAUUUUCAUUUUGACCAAUUUCAUUGAUAGAUUGGUCAUGUAUUAGUACAUGUUGAAUUGAAUAAGAUUUAUUUUAUUACUUUUAUAGUAAUAAUAAAUUUGAAACCUUGAUAUUUUCAUUUUGAUUGUUGUUGUUGAAUUGAAUAAAUUUAAAGCGUUGA
Molecule: long non-coding RNA, 1106 nt
Organism: Planococcus citri (citrus mealybug)
Lineage: Eukaryota; Metazoa; Arthropoda; Insecta; Hemiptera; Pseudococcidae
Exons: 3
Source: RefSeq, a predicted model, not a curated record